GUCAUUUUAUAACGCUUUUAUAAGUACUAUAAGUCCUGAGCCCUAGUUAGUACAAAGUUAUUAUUUAUUAGUAAUAUUUUAAUUAUUAUUUAGAAGUGGCACUCAAAUUUGUUAAUUUUAAUCUUCAUGGAUUUAGUUUAAACCAAUAUACUACACGGAGUGAUCAAUCUAGCAUAAGACCUUUUUAUAAAGGGAGAUCAAUCUAGAUCACCCUGUAUAAUAAAGGCUGAUACUGCUAUUGGGUAUGCCACAGUUUUAGAAAGAAGUUUGAAGAGACGAUACAUAGAUCAAUUUAAUGUAUAUCUGUACUCAGUGAUAAACAAACUACAUUUUAUUUUAUUGAUGUUCGCUUGCUAAUGAUUCUAAAUAGAGUAUUAUUAGUCAUAUACAUUUCCUUGU
Molecule: non-coding RNA, 399 nt
Organism: Cinara cedri
Lineage: Eukaryota; Metazoa; Arthropoda; Insecta; Hemiptera; Aphididae
Source: the annotation of a GenBank genome assembly